Molecule: long non-coding RNA, 1036 nt
Filed under: Malus domestica (apple)
Lineage: Eukaryota; Viridiplantae; Streptophyta; Magnoliopsida; Rosales; Rosaceae
Description: long non-coding RNA (MDOM_LNC012583)
Source: RNAcentral
AGUCUAACGAGGAUGUUAGAUGCAGCCAUAAAGUCUACGAAGAAUUAUUGCGCAGUUGGAUCUUAAGUUGUGUUUUGCCAUUUCCCGGAGGCGAGGUAUGUUAGAGAUACGGGUAGCAUUGGUCCCCGGACCUUUGAAUUUUCAGCGAACGUUGAUGCUUGCCUUGUAGUAUAGGUGGUGUCAAAUUUAGAGUUUCCUUAGAUUUGUGAACCUUGGAGUGAGAGACUAGUACGUCUUGCCUAUGGGGUAUGAAUUGGGUAGUUAAGUUGACCGUUCUUUCGAAUCAUUUACAUUGGUCGUGGUGAUUCAAUUCGUAUUAGUUUCGUUUUCUUCUUAUUCCAACUGUCCUGUCCGAGAACGUUGUGCUCUUUUGAAUCUGGUGGCUAGAGUUUCCUUAGUGAGUUAGUCGUUGAGGUAGAAGUUUAGUUUCGUGGCGAAGUGGUUGUCUUGAAAUCCCCGUGUUGGAUUUGAUUGACAAAAGCGUUAGUGGGGGGAUACCUCUUGGAUUCGUAUUUUUUUUUUUGGAUUCUUGAAGUAUCGAAAGUGAAGUUGGCUAAGUUCUUAGUGUCGAAGAGAAGGGCGAGAUCCUUAUCCGAUGUUGAUGACGUGGUUGUCAAUAUCGAGUUCGAAUAGUGAUGUGGUUGUUCCUUGUAGUUUGGCUUAUGGAAAUUUCGGGGACGAAAUUUCUAUAAGGUGGGGAGGAUGUGAUAUCCCGUCCCCAAAAUUAGUAUUUUAUUUUAUUCUUGACGUAUUUCAAAGAUUUAAUUGAAACUAGUUCGUUAAUUCUCCAAUUUUGAGAAAAACGAAGUGAGGGGUACUUUAGCCAUUUCCAAUUUUCUCGACCUUUUCAGUCAACUCUUGAGUUCGUUAGGUAGAGUUUGAUUCCAUGAGGGCAUAUGUGUAAACGGAUCUUAAUUCCGAGUCACAACGAAGAAGUUAGAGUCGUUUGAAGUUGGUGGCAUUUUGGUAAUUUUACCAACAUGCUAUAAUUGGAAAGAAACCUCCAGAAAAUCGGGAAUGUUUCUAAAAAAAUGAG